GACGAACGCUGGCGGCGUGCCUAAUACAUGCAAGUCGAACGAGCGGCGGACGGGUGAGUAAUGUAUGGGGACUGCCCGAUAGAGGGGGAUAACUACUGGAAACGGUGGCUUAUACCCCAUACUAUCGGAUAACCCAUAUGGGAUUAGCUAGUAGGUGGGGUAAAGGCUCACCUGGGCGACGACCUCUAGCUGGUCUGAGAGGAUGAUGAGCAACACUGGGACUGAGACCGGGCCCAGACUCCUACGGAGGCAGCAGGGGGAAUGUUUGCACAAUGGGCGAAAUCCUGAUGCAGCCAUGCCGCGUGUAUGAAGAAGGCCUUAGGGUUGUAAAGUCCUUUCAGCGGGGAGGUGUUACCCGCAGAAGAAGCACCGGCUAACUCCGUGCCAGCAGCCGCGGUAAUAC
Molecule: ribosomal RNA, 403 nt
Filed under: uncultured bacterium
Lineage: Bacteria
Description: partial 16S ribosomal RNA
Rfam family: Bacterial small subunit ribosomal RNA
Source: RNAcentral